This 444-nucleotide ribosomal RNA is filed under the name uncultured soil bacterium. Its description in RNAcentral is "bacterial SSU rRNA". It matches the Rfam family "Bacterial small subunit ribosomal RNA", at positions 26 to 518 of the family's 1533-position model. The record is from RNAcentral.
AGAACGAACGCUGGCGGCAUGCCUAAUACAUGCAAGUCGAACGAACACUUCGGUGUUAGUGGCGCACGGGUGCGUAACGCGUGGGAAUCUGCCCUUGGGUUCGGAAUAACAGUUGGAAACGACUGCUAAUACCGGAUGACGACGAAGGUCCAAAGAUUUAUCGCCCAGGGAUGAGCCCGCGUAGGAUUAGCUAGUUGGUGAGGUAAAGGCUCACCAAGGCGACGAUCCUUAGCUGGUCUGAGAGGAUGAUCAGCCACACUGGGACUGAGACACGGCCCAGACUCCUACGGGAGGCAGCAGUAGGGAAUAUUGGACAAUGGGCGCAAGCCUGAUCCAGCAAUGCCGCGUGAGUGAUGAAGCCUUAGGUUGUAAAGCUCUUUUACCCGAGAUGAUAAUGACAGUAUCGGAGAAUAAGCCCCGGCUAACUCCGUGCCAGCGAGCCGC